This 638-nucleotide ribosomal RNA is filed under the name Cryptococcus sp. F6. RNAcentral's name for it is "eukaryotic LSU rRNA". It matches the Rfam family "Eukaryotic large subunit ribosomal RNA", at positions 38 to 663 of the family's 3401-position model. The record is from RNAcentral. Lineage: Eukaryota; Fungi; Basidiomycota; Tremellomycetes; Tremellales; Cryptococcaceae.
GCAUAUCAAUAAGCGGAGGAAAAGAAACUAACAAGGAUUCCCCUAGUAACGGCGAGCGAACCGGGAAGAGCUCAAAUUUGAAAUCUGGCGUCCUUCGGGCGUCCGAGUUGUAAUCUAUAGAGGCGUUUUCCGUGCCGGACCGUGUCCAAGUCCCUUGGAACAGGGUAUCAAAGAGGGUGACAAUCCCGUACUUGACACGACCACCGGUGCUCUGUGAUACGUCUUCUACGAGUCGAGUUGUUUGGGAAUGCAGCUCAAAAUGGGUGGUAAACUCCAUCUAAAGCUAAAUAUUGGUGGGAGACCGAUAGCGAACAAGUACCGUGAGGGAAAGAUGAAAAGCACUUUGGAAAGAGAGUUAAACAGUAUGUGAAAUUGUUGAAAGGGAAACGAUUGAAGUCAGUCGUGUCCAUUGGACUCAGCCGGUUCUGCCGGUCUACUUCCUUUGGACGGGUCAACAUCGGUUCUGGACGGCGGAUAAGGGCGGGAGGAAAGUAGCACCCCUCGGGGUGUGGUAUAGCCUCCUGUCGCAUACGUCGACCGGGACCGAGGAACGCAGCUCGCCUUCAUGGCCGGGGUUCGCCCACGUACGAGCUUAGGAUGUUGACAUAAUGGCUUUAAACGACCCGUCUUGAAACACG